Molecule: ribosomal RNA, 450 nt
Filed under: uncultured bacterium
Lineage: Bacteria
Description: partial 16S ribosomal RNA
Rfam family: Bacterial small subunit ribosomal RNA
Source: RNAcentral
GUAGGGAAUUUUCGGCAAUGGACGAAAGUCUGACCGAGCAACGCCGCGUGAGUGAAGAAGGUUUUCGGAUCGUAAAACUCUGUUGGUAGAGAAGAACGUUGGUGAGAGUGGAACGCUCAUCAAGUGACGGUAACUACCCAGAAAGGGACGGCUAACUACGUGCCAGCAGCCGCGGUAAUACGUAGGUCCCGAGCGUUGUCCGGAUUUAUUGGGCGUAAAGCGAGCGCAGGGGGUUUAUUAAGUCUGGUGUAAAAGGCAGUGGCUCAACCAUUGUCUGCAUUGGAAACUGGUAGGCUUGAGUGCAGGAGAGGAGAGUGGAAUUCCAGGUGUAGCGGUGAAAUGCGUAGAUAUAUGGAGGAACACCGGUGGCUAAAGCGGCUCUCUGGCCUGUAACUGACACUGAGGCUCGAAAGCGUGGGGAUCAAACAGGAUUAGAUACCCGAGUAGUCC